UUGGAGGGCAAGUCUGGUGCCAGCAGCCGCGGUAAUUCCAGCUCCAAUAGCGUAUAUUAAAGUUGUUGCAGUUAAAAAGCUCGUAGUUGAAUUUCGGGGUUAGUAGGUUGGUCAUGCCUCUGGUAUGUACUGGUCUCACUGAUUCCUCCUUCCUGAUGAGCCGUAAUGCCAUUAAUUUGGUGUUGCGGGGAAUUUGGACUGUUACUUUGAAAAAAUUAGAGUGUUUAAAGCAAGCUAACGCUUGAAUACAUUAGCUUGGAAUAAUGAAAUAGGACGUUCGAUCCUAUUUUGUUGGUUUCUAGGAUUGACGUAAUGAUUAAUAGGGAUAGUUGGGGGCAUUAGUAUUCAAUUGUCAGAGGUGAAAUUCUUGGAUUUAUUGAAGACUAACUACUGCGAAAGCAUUUGCCAAGGAUGUUUUCAUUAAUCAAGAACGAAAGUUAGGGGAUCGAAGACGAUCAGAUACCGUCGUAGUCUUAACCAUAAACUAUGCCGACUAGGGAUCGGAUGAUGUUAAUUUUUUAAUGACUCAUUCGGCGCCUUACGGGAAACCAAAGUGUUUGGGUUC
This 565-nucleotide ribosomal RNA is filed under the name uncultured Glomeromycotina. RNAcentral describes it as "SSU rRNA". It matches the Rfam family "Eukaryotic small subunit ribosomal RNA", at positions 548 to 1114 of the family's 1831-position model. Lineage: Eukaryota; Fungi; Glomeromycota. The record is from RNAcentral.